RNAcentral lists this ribosomal RNA (433 nucleotides) under Mollicutes bacterium. RNAcentral's name for it is "bacterial SSU rRNA". It matches the Rfam family "Bacterial small subunit ribosomal RNA", at positions 1 to 410 of the family's 1533-position model. The record is from RNAcentral. Lineage: Bacteria; Bacillati; Mycoplasmatota; Mollicutes.
UUUUAUGAGAGUUUGAUCCUAGCUCAGGAUGAACGCUGGCGGCAUGCCUAAGACAUGCAAGUCGAACGAGGGAACCUGAUGAAUCUUUGCGUACUUGUACAAGAAGACGAAACAGAUUUUUCCCUAGUGGCAAACGGGUGAGUAACACGUGGGUUACCUGCCUCUAAGUUUGGGAUAACAGUUAGAAAUGAUUGCUAAUACCGAAUGUGAUAAUUUAUCAAAGAAGCCCUUAAAGCUUCGCUUAGAGAUGGGCCUGCGGUGCAUUAGCUUGUUGGUGGGGUAAUGGCCUACCAAGGCGAUGAUGCAUAGCCGAACUGAGAGGUUAAUCGGCCACACUGGGACUGAGACACGGCCCAGACUCCUACGGGAGACAGCAGUUAGGAAUAUUCGGCAAUGGGGGAAACCCUGACCGAGCAAUGCCGCGUGAAUGAUG